This 634-nucleotide small RNA is filed under the name Pan troglodytes (chimpanzee). RNAcentral's name for it is "retained intron". Lineage: Eukaryota; Metazoa; Chordata; Mammalia; Primates; Hominidae. The record is from RNAcentral.
GUAUCCCUGCUGGAGUACCGAAAACGGAAACAAGAAGCUAAGGAAAAUUCUGCUGGUGGGGGAGGUGACUCUGCACAGAGCAAAAGCAAGCCUGCAGGAGCUGGGCAAGGCAGCAGUAACUCCGUUUCUGACACUGGUGCCCAUGGUGUGCAGGGAUCCUCAGCCCGAACUCCAUCUUCCCCUCACAAAAAAUUCUCCCCAUCUCAUUCCUCUAUGUCCCAUUUGGAGGCGGUAAGCCCAUCAGAUUCCAGAGGCACUUCUUCAUCUCACUGCAGACCUCAAGAGAAUAUCAGCAGUAGGUGGAUGGUUCCCACAUCAGUAGAACGACUCCGAGAAGGAGGGAGCAUCCCCAAGGUCCUCCGAAGCAGCGUGAGGGUGGCCCAAAAGGGAGAGCCCUCUCCCACAUGGGAGAGUAACAUCACAGAGAAAGACUCAGACCCUGCAGAUGGAGAAGGCCCAGAGACAUUGAGCUCAGCACUCUCUAAAGGAGCAACAGUUUACAGCCCUUCCAGAUACAGCUACCAGGUGAGAUGAGAAAUUGCUGGUCUCUAGCCAUAGGAGUGUGUUCUGGGUCCUAAAUUGUCCUGGUCAUCCUUUGCCAUUGAGAUGCUGUCUUUGCAUAUAGUUUCAGCAG